CAGUGGUGCAGCUCAGAGUAACGGAACACGAAAAUGAAAGUGAAAGUAGAAAUGAACUCUGAGCAACACAAGAAAAGAAUGAAACAUGAUACAUAUAAACCUAUCAUCCUUAUCUCCUACCCUUAGGCAUAACAAUAUGGUUGGACCCCCUUUAUCCUGGGUUGGGAACCCCCCUUUUUAAAAUGGCUGGAUCCGCCCCUGCUUAUAUAUAACUGAGAGAAUAAUGGGGUGCUUAUAGAUACCUGAGAAUAGAGAAUAACAGGCAAAUUUAUAAAGAAUAGAGAAAAAUGGUAUAAAAAAUUACAGAAUACAGAAAUGAAGGACCCUUCCCCCACCUCCCCCCCCCCCAAUCCAG
RNAcentral lists this long non-coding RNA (355 nucleotides) under Mytilus galloprovincialis (Mediterranean mussel). Lineage: Eukaryota; Metazoa; Mollusca; Bivalvia; Mytilida; Mytilidae. The record is from RNAcentral.